CCAUCAAUCUUCAAGUACCCAACAUGUGGCAAUGUUCCACCAUCCAUAAUAAACUCCCCACAUGUGCCACAAUCCAUCCUUACACCCCGUUCCAUGAUAUUUGACAAACAAGAAGUAGAACAACUAAUCCCUACUGCUUAUAUGGCAGGAAGACAUCGAUACAACCAAUAGGAGCUCCCUUUCCAAAAAGCAAAGCGGGGAAACCCACUUUGAUUGAUCUAAUUCGAUUAUUGAAUUCAUGAAUCUCGACAUCCAAAUUGCAAGGAGGGAAAAAAAUGGAAUAGAGAGAAGAA
Molecule: long non-coding RNA, 293 nt
Organism: Magnolia sinica
Lineage: Eukaryota; Viridiplantae; Streptophyta; Magnoliopsida; Magnoliales; Magnoliaceae
Exons: 2
Source: RefSeq, a predicted model, not a curated record